UAGGGAAUCUUCGGCAAUGGACGAAAGUCUGACCGAGCAACGCCGCGUGAGUGAAGAAGGUUUUCGGAUCGUAAAACUCUGUUGUUAGAGAAGAACAAGGACGUUAGUAACUGAACGUCCCCUGACGGUAUCUAACCAGAAAGCCACGGCUAACUACGUGCCAGCAGCCGCGGUAAUACGUAGGUGGAAAGCGUUGUCCGGAUUUAUUGGGCGUAAAGCGAGCGCAGGCGGUUUCUUAAGUCUGAUGUGAAAGCCCCCGGCUCAACCGGGGAGGGUCAUUGGAAACUGGAAGACUUGAGUGCAGAAGAGGAGGGUGGAAUUCCAUGUGUAGCGGUGAAAUGCGUAGAUAUAUGGAGGAACACCAGUGGCGAAGGCGGCUCUCUGGUCUGUAACUGACGCUGAGGCUCGAAAGCGUGGGGAGCAAACAGG
RNAcentral lists this ribosomal RNA (429 nucleotides) under Gemmatimonadota bacterium. RNAcentral describes it as "Gemmatimonadetes bacterium partial 16S ribosomal RNA". It matches the Rfam family "Bacterial small subunit ribosomal RNA", at positions 355 to 776 of the family's 1533-position model. Lineage: Bacteria; Pseudomonadati; Gemmatimonadota. The record is from RNAcentral.